Molecule: long non-coding RNA, 1480 nt
Filed under: Homo sapiens (human)
Lineage: Eukaryota; Metazoa; Chordata; Mammalia; Primates; Hominidae
Description: HSALNT0132591
Source: RNAcentral
GCGGGGCCGAGUCCGGGUUUGGGGCCCGGAAGGCGGGGCCAGUUAGGGCGAGGGUCCCUGGGAUCGUCAGGUCAGGCCUUGGGCUAACGUAGGCACUCUCGCAGUUCCUCCGCCUUCAGGAAAGUCUUUUUAGCAGGGGCCUUACGGGUUCGCGCUUUGGUCCUGGAGGCCUUAUCCUAGCCUCCUCUGUAUCAGCGCCACCAGUCUGGGGCCCGAAAGGAGGGAGCUUUCCCUCUGUCCCCCAGCCUUUGGACUGUCACCAAACAAGCCAUUCGUUCACCAAAUACUUAUUAAGCGCCUACCAUGUGCCUGACAAGGGAGAUGUAACGGUGAGAAAAACUAGGUGUGGUCCAUGUCCUCCAGGGGCUCAGGGGCUCGUGGAAGAAGUGGACAUUGAAGUAUUUAUCACACAAAUGAGUAUAAAAGUACAAUAGCGAUAUCUGCCACGAAGCUGUUGUUCCCCACCAGAACCAAAUGAGCGCAAGAUCUGACAAAGAAAAAAAGAAGUUCAUCUUUUAUUCCCCCAAACCCUUUCAUUUAAAUCAAGAGGGUGGGAUGUGGUUAUUGCUGUGUUUUUAGGCAGAAUCAACGGUUUCUGGGUCUGAGAAGUUGCAUACACACUCUCAGUCCCUGUAUCCUGAGAUGGAGUCACCUGAGGAUCCACAGCAAGUCCUAACCAGGGAUGGGUCUGGGUGAUUAAGGAAGGUUGGCUUCAGAACUGGGCCAGAGGCACUGCUUUGCUUUUGCUGUUUUGAUCAGCUCUGUGCCUGCAUGAGACAAGGAAAAUCAAUGGGAACAGCUGGGGAAACUGAGUUACAGAGCUUUUCUGCACUGAGUCAUCAGGAGCAAAUGCUAGAUCAGAUAGAGUCUCUCUCUCUGCCACCCAGGCCAGAGUGCAGUUGACGCAGGGCAGGGGAGCCCCGAAGUGGAGCAUAGUGUGUCCGGAACUGGUGGGUUCUUGGUCUCCCUGACUUCAAGAAUGAAGCCACGGACCCUCGGGAAAUGAGGCUUCUCCCCAGGACCAGCAUUCCACGAAGGCAGCCCUUUUCUAGAUGGAGAAAACAGAACCUGAAGACACCCGUUUCCCUAAACUGCUCUCGCUCAUGUUUCUACAAGGCCUGGAGCUGAUAGGAAAAACCUCCCUUCUUUCCCAAAUGGUCCCCAGCUGCCCCGUUCACUGAAGGCCCUGCAGUCAGGAACGGUCAGGACUUCACACCCAGUUGUUGUGGGUGUUUGGCCGACACGACACUUCCUCUUGUGUGAUUCAUGGACCCGCAGCAUUGCGUCACCUGGGAGCUUUUGGUAUUGAAGACUCUCAGGGCUCACCCGGAAGGACCUGCUGGGCCAGAAUCUACAUUUUAACAAGAUGCCCAGAAACUCCUGGAGGGCAGAGGCAUGCCUGCCAUCUUCAUCAUUGCAUUACCACCACCCAACACUAUCGGGGGACCUGCCCUGAUAAUCAGUAAAACCAACACAAAAC